GUGGUAGACCUUUACUGCCAGGUGGUACACCCUCACUAACAGGUGUGGGUGCCCAGGACCCUUGGACCCCAUGGUACCCUCUCACUAGCAGGUGUGGGUGCAUGUGCAGGGUGCCGUGCCCUGGUGCUGGCACCCUGCCUGCAGCUGCUGCUUCUGUAACCGAAUAAACUGGCCUUAUUUAA
Ochotona curzoniae (black-lipped pika) is the source of this 182-nucleotide long non-coding RNA. RefSeq lists it as uncharacterized. The record is from RefSeq and is a predicted model, not a curated record. The transcript is spliced from 2 exons. Lineage: Eukaryota; Metazoa; Chordata; Mammalia; Lagomorpha; Ochotonidae.